RNAcentral lists this non-coding RNA (186 nucleotides) under Saccharomonospora sp. Lineage: Bacteria; Bacillati; Actinomycetota; Actinomycetes; Pseudonocardiales; Pseudonocardiaceae. The record is from RNAcentral.
UAGCGUCAGCGGCGCCGUGGUGUACGGGAAUCCGGUGUGAUGCCGGUGCGGCCCUCGCCACUGUGAUCGGGAAGUGACGCGCCGUCCGCUCGCGGGCGGGCCACUGGGACCCACGGGUCCUGGGAAGGCAGGCGCGGCACGCAAUCGCCCGUCAGCCAGGAGACCGGCCACGGCACCGUGUGACCC